UACGUAGGGCGCAAGCGUUGUCCGGAAUUAUUGGGCGUAAAGAGCUCGUAGGCGGCUUGUCACGUCGGCUGUGAAAACCCGGGGCUCAACCCCGGGCCUGCAGUCGAUACGGGCAGGCUAGAGUUCGGUAAGGGAGACUGGAAUUCCCGGUGUAGCGGUGAAAUGCGCAGAUAUCGGGAGGAACACCGGUGGCGAAGGCGGGUCUCUGGGCCGAAACUGACGCUGAGGAGCGAAAGCGUGGGGAGCAAACAGG
RNAcentral lists this ribosomal RNA (253 nucleotides) under uncultured bacterium. Its description in RNAcentral is "partial 16S ribosomal RNA". It matches the Rfam family "Bacterial small subunit ribosomal RNA", at positions 524 to 776 of the family's 1533-position model. The record is from RNAcentral.